AGGGCAAUAGCUCUAACGGUAGAGCAUCGGAUUCCAAAUCCGCAGGUUGGGGGUUCGAAUCCCUCUUGCCCUGCCA
RNAcentral lists this transfer RNA (76 nucleotides) under Campylobacter sp. W0014. RNAcentral describes it as "tRNA-Trp". It matches the Rfam family "tRNA". Rfam says of the family: Transfer RNA (tRNA) molecules are approximately 80 nucleotides in length. Their secondary structure includes four short double-helical elements and three loops (D, anti-codon, and T loops). Further hydrogen bonds mediate the characteristic L-shaped molecular structure. tRNAs have two regions of fundamental functional importance: the anti-codon, which is responsible for specific mRNA codon recognition, and the 3' end, to which the tRNAs corresponding amino acid is attached (by aminoacyl-tRNA synthetases). tRNAs cope with the degeneracy of the genetic code in two manners: having more than one tRNA (with a specific anti-codon) for a particular amino acid; and 'wobble' base-pairing, i.e. permitting non-standard base-pairing at the 3rd anti-codon position. Lineage: Bacteria; Pseudomonadati; Campylobacterota; Epsilonproteobacteria; Campylobacterales; Campylobacteraceae. The record is from RNAcentral.